This 484-nucleotide ribosomal RNA is filed under the name uncultured bacterium. RNAcentral's name for it is "partial 16S ribosomal RNA". It matches the Rfam family "Bacterial small subunit ribosomal RNA", at positions 28 to 507 of the family's 1533-position model. The record is from RNAcentral.
AUUGAACGCUGGCGGCAGGCCUUACACAUGCAAGUCGAGCGGCAGCAGGGGUGCUUGCACCGGAUUGAGAGGGGGACGCGUGUGAGUUGUCCAUCGAAACGUGUGGUGGAGGGGGGUAUAGCCCGGCGAAAGGCGGUUUAAUAGCACACGCGAUGUGCGGAAGAGAGCGGGGUACCUGCGGCCCACGCUCUCAGAUGUUGCGAGGUCGGAUUAGCUAGUUGGUGGGGUAAAGGCCUACCAAGGCGACGAUCCGUAGCUGGUCUGAGAGGACGAUCAGCCACACUGGGACUGAGACACGGCCCAGACUCCUACGGGAGGCAGCAGUGGGGAAUUUUGGACAAUGGGCGAAAGCCUGAUCCAGCCAUGCCGCGUGUGUGAAGAAGGUCUUCGGGUUGUAAAGCACUUUUGUCUGGAAAGAAGUCCAUGGAGCUAAUACCGUCGUGGGAUGACGGUACCGGCAGAAUAAGCACCGGCUAACUACGUG